GGGCCUAUAGCUCAGCUGGUUGGAGCGCACGCCUGAUAAGCGUGAGGUCGGUGGUUCAAGUCCACCUAGGCCCA
This 74-nucleotide transfer RNA is filed under the name Desulfobulbus sp. Tol-SR. It matches the Rfam family "tRNA". From Rfam's summary of the family: Transfer RNA (tRNA) molecules are approximately 80 nucleotides in length. The record is from Rfam by way of RNAcentral. Lineage: Bacteria; Pseudomonadati; Thermodesulfobacteriota; Desulfobulbia; Desulfobulbales; Desulfobulbaceae.